AUCACAUUACUCGCCUGAGCCACAUAGUCAUGAAUCACAGAGACUGAGCAUCACAGGAUGCUGGGGCUGGAGAAGACUGCAUAGACCAGCUGGUCCACCUUAGCACAUUAGAGAGAAAAGUGAAGCCUGAAGAGAGGCGGGCUUACUUAAUUUGCUCGGUAGCAGAGUCAAGCUGCCCACUCCAGUACUCCUGCCUGGAAAAUCCCAUGGAUGAAGGAGCCUGGAUUUUAGUUCCGGGCCAGAGAUCGAAUCCAUGCCCUUAGCAGAAGUGCGAAGUCAACCACUGGACCUCCAGGGAAGUUCCAGUAAGUUGAAUUUUACCAGCAAGCAUUCUGAAACUUCAGAUUUACCAAUGAGACAUGAAUAGCAAACUGAAGAUCACUUUGAAAGCUAACGGAUUUUCACAUGGAAACAGUCAUGUUUUGAAUCUCUGAAAGAAAACUCCACCAAAUAGCCCCAGAGCCCUCUGAUCCUGGUGGUCAGAUCAGAACUUUUUCAAGCCUCUCUCCUCCUCAGUGACCUUCCUAUUCACCUUUCCACACC
Molecule: long non-coding RNA, 543 nt
Organism: Bos taurus (domestic cattle)
Lineage: Eukaryota; Metazoa; Chordata; Mammalia; Artiodactyla; Bovidae
Source: Ensembl